GAAUUUUUAGCUUAUUUUGUGUAUAUUGUUCACAAAUCUAAGAUUUUUCUAUUAGGAUAAUCUUAUUUGUGUGAAAUCUUUUGGGGUUUUCCUUUUUUUCUGUGUAUAUUUUGAUUUGGGUUUGGGUUUGGGUUGGUUGUUCUUAUCUUUCCUUUUCCUCUAAGUAAUCUACUUAUUACGUUUGAUUAUUGAAUUUACGUGUUGUGGACGAAAUUGGGGUUGUAUUGUGUUAUUUAAUGAUGGGUAUUGAGUAAAGUUUGGAUCUUUAUUGUUAAAAGGGUUGCUUUAUUUGUUCCCUUUUGUCCCUUUAGUUGUGUGGUGAUUUGGGGGAGUUUGAAAGUUCAAUUGGGUUUGUGGGAUUUGUUGAGAUUGUGUUGAGUUGGGGUGAGUUGAGAGGUUUUGCGGUGGAG
Molecule: unclassified non-coding RNA, 410 nt
Filed under: Hevea brasiliensis (rubber tree)
Lineage: Eukaryota; Viridiplantae; Streptophyta; Magnoliopsida; Malpighiales; Euphorbiaceae
Source: RNAcentral